Molecule: small RNA, 2276 nt
Filed under: Pongo abelii (Sumatran orangutan)
Lineage: Eukaryota; Metazoa; Chordata; Mammalia; Primates; Hominidae
Description: retained intron
Source: RNAcentral
CUUAAAGUCUUUCAGUUUUCAGAAGUGGGCCACACAUCUGGGUCUGAGCUUCCUAGCAGCCAAAUAAAAGAGGAAACCAGCUUCAAAUGUAGUGUCUAUGUAUACUAGUUGUUCACAGUAAGUUCAGCUUCUCACUGCAUUGACACCUGGUUCUCCUUCCAGGAGGGACCUCAUCAAGGGAACUCAAGUGAUGUAGAAAGCAACAUCCUCAAUAAUAUUCUUGCAGCAAAUACAGUGGUGACAUUUGUGGAGCUGUGUCCAUAGGCCAGGGCAGUGGCUCUGAGUGUGGUCCCAGGACAAACAGCUUCAGCAUCACUUGGGAACGUGUUAGAAAUGCAGAUACUCAGGCCCCACCCCAGACCUACUCAGCAAUCUGUGUUUUAAUAAUCCCUCUGGGUGACUCUAAUGCAAGCUGAAGUUUGAGAAUCAUGGGACAAGAGUUCUCAACCCUACAGUCAAACGUUAGAAUUACCUGGAAGGCUUUCAAAGGACAUGAUGCCUGGGCCCACCCAAACCAAUUCAUGCAGGAUCCCUGUGUGCCACGCCGGCUAUGUCUAUUUCUAAAGCUCCCCAGGUAGUCGUACCGUGAAGCUAGAAGGGAGACCUACUGCUGCUUAGUUGUUUAAUGCAAACUGAUUGGCCAACAGAUGUGCCAUCUGCUCCAGGGAAAUCCAGACUGUCACUUGCAAAGCUUAUAGGAGAGGGCGCCUUCCUUCUUUCCUUCUUCCCCUCCUCCCUCCCUUUCUUACUUCCUUCUAUCUUCAGCACUGAGCACUACCAUGUAGAUGGCAGAGUCCAAAGGUGCAUUAGACACUAUAGGUUCCUGAACCUGAGGAGUCAGCACCUAAUGGGAACUUUGGAAGUAGUCUAGUGGGAAUUCCAGGCAGGCGAGGGUGUGGGUGAUGUGGACAGGAUGGUAGGGCAGCCCUCAGUCCAUCCCCCAUCCUUGUCUGAUGCUGCUUUUCUUGGCAGGUUGUGAGGGGAUGUGGGACAACAUAAGCUGCUGGCCCUCUUCUGUGCCGGGCCGGAUGGUGGAGGUGGAAUGCCCGAGAUUCCUCCGGAUGCUCACCAGCAGAAAUGGUUCCUUGUUCCGAAACUGCACACAGGAUGGCUGGUCAGAAACCUUCCCCAGGCCCAAUCUGGCCUGUGGUGUUAACGUGAACGACUCUUCCAACGAGAAGCGGGAGGCUCCACUGCACCCGCAACUACAUCCACAUGCACCUGUUCGUGUCCUUCAUCCUUCGCGCCCUGUCCAACUUCAUCAAGGACGCCGUGCUCUUCUCCUCGGAUGAUGUCACCUACUGUGAUGCCCACAGGGCGGGCUGCAAGCUGGUCAUGGUGCUGUUCCAGUACUGCAUCAUGGCCAACUACUCCUGGCUGCUGGUGGAAGGCCUCUACCUUCACACACUCCUCGCCAUCUCCUUCUUCUCCGAAAGAAAGUACCUCCAGGGAUUUGUGGCAUUCGGAUGGGGUUCUCCAGCCAUUUUUGUUGCUUUGUGGGCUAUCGCCAGACACUUUCUGGAAGAUGUUGGGUGCUGGGACAUCAAUGCCAACGCAUCCAUCUGGUGGAUCAUUCGUGGGCCUGUGAUCCUCUCCAUCCUGAUUAAUUUCAUCCUUUUUAUAAACAUUCUAAGAAUCCUGAUGAGAAAACUUAGAACCCAAGAAACAAGAGGAAAUGAAGUCAGCCAUUAUAAGCGCCUGGCAAGGUCCACUCUCCUGCUGAUCCCACUCUUUGGCAUCCACUACAUCGUCUUCGCCUUCUCCCCAGAGGACGCUAUGGAGAUCCAGCUGUUUUUUGAAUUGGCCCUUGGCUCAUUCCAGGGACUGGUGGUGGCCGUCCUCUACUGCUUCCUCAACGGGGAGGUGCAGCUGGAGGUUCAGAAGAAGUGGCAGCAAUGGCACCUCCGUGAGUUCCCACUGCACCCUGUGGCCUCCUUCAGCAACAGCACCAAGGCCAGCCACUUGGAGCAGAGCCAGGGCACCUGCAGGACCAGCAUCAUCUGAGAGGCUGGAGCAGGAUCACCCACGGACAGGGACCAAGAGAGGUCCUGAGAAGGCUGGGCAAUGCUGCGGGACAGCCAGUCUUCCCAGCAGACACCCUAUGCCCUCCUUCAGCUGAAAAUGCCCCUCCCCAGGCCUUGGACUCUUCCGAAGGGAUGUGGGGCACUGUGGGGCAGGACAAGGGCCUGGGAUUUGGUUUGUUUGCUCUUCUGGGAAGAGAAGUUCAGGGGUCCCAGAAAGGGACAGGGAAAUAAAUGGUGCCUGGGAUGAGAUUC